RNAcentral lists this transfer RNA (71 nucleotides) under Pangasianodon gigas (Mekong giant catfish). RNAcentral describes it as "tRNA-Glu". The record is from RNAcentral. Lineage: Eukaryota; Metazoa; Chordata; Actinopteri; Siluriformes; Pangasiidae.
GCGUAGAGGACUAGUGGUUAGGCCUCAGUGUUCUCACCGCUGCAGCCUGGGUUUGAUUCCCGGUCAGGGAA